RNAcentral lists this ribosomal RNA (771 nucleotides) under uncultured bacterium. Its description in RNAcentral is "bacterial SSU rRNA". It matches the Rfam family "Bacterial small subunit ribosomal RNA", at positions 8 to 796 of the family's 1533-position model. The record is from RNAcentral.
AGAGUUUGAUCCUGGCUCAGGACGAACGCUGGCGGCGUGCUUAACACAUGCAAGUCGAACGGAAAGGCCCUUCGGGGUACUCGAGUGGCGAACGGGUGAGUAACACGUGGGUGAUCUGCCCUGCACUUUGGGAUAAGCCUGGGAAACUGGGUCUAAUACCGAAUAGGACCGCGCGCUCCAUGGUGUGUGGUGGAAAGCUUUUGCGGUGUGGGAUGGGCCCGCGGCCUAUCAGCUUGUUGGUGGGGUAAUGGCCUACCAAGGCGACGACGGGUAGCCGGCCUGAGAGGGUGACCGGCCACACUGGGACUGAGAUACGGCCCAGACUCCUACGGGAGGCAGCAGUGGGGAAUAUUGCACAAUGGGCGCAAGCCUGAUGCAGCGACGCCGCGUGAGGGAUGACGGCCUUCGGGUUGUAAACCUCUUUCACCAGGGACGAAGCGCAAGUGACGGUACCUGGAGAAGAAGCACCGGCCAACUACGUGCCAGCAGCCGCGGUAAUACGUAGGGUGCGAGCGUUGUCCGGAAUUACUGGGCGUAAAGAGCUCGUAGGUGGUUUGUCGCGUUGUUCGUGAAAACUCACAGCUUAACUGUGGGCGUGCGGGCGAUACGGGCAGACUAGAGUACUGCAGGGGAGACUGGAAUUCCUGGUGUAGCGGUGGAAUGCGCAGAUAUCAGGAGGAACACCGGUGGCGAAGGCGGGUCUCUGGGCAGUAACUGACGCUGAGGAGCGAAAGCGUGGGGAGCGAACAGGAUUAGAUACCCUGGUAGUCC